GGACAGAUGGCCGAGAUGGUUAUGGCGCCAGGUUAAGGUCAUACCUUAAACAUCUAGAUAGUUUCCUGGUCACGAAAGUGGCGUGGGUUCGAGUCCCACUCUGUUCA
Pseudogymnoascus pannorum is the source of this 107-nucleotide transfer RNA. It matches the Rfam family "tRNA". Rfam says of the family: Transfer RNA (tRNA) molecules are approximately 80 nucleotides in length. Their secondary structure includes four short double-helical elements and three loops (D, anti-codon, and T loops). The record is from Rfam. Lineage: Eukaryota; Fungi; Ascomycota; Leotiomycetes; Thelebolales; Thelebolaceae.